This 24-nucleotide small RNA is filed under the name Arabidopsis thaliana (thale cress). Its description in RNAcentral is "ATSL190340". Lineage: Eukaryota; Viridiplantae; Streptophyta; Magnoliopsida; Brassicales; Brassicaceae. The record is from RNAcentral.
AGAAGAUGAAGAAGACAAGAGAGA